CACCUCGAUGUCGGCUCAUCGCAUCCUGGGGCUGGACAAGGUCCCAAGGGUCGGGCUGUUCGCCCGUUAAAGCGGUACGCGAGCUGGGUUCAGACCGUCAAGAAUGGCGGCGUUGGGGAGCGAUCCUCAACUGAUAACCGACUCAUAACGGGGAACCCCUCUUCGGAGGGCAAUCCCGUGGGAAGGUCGAGAUGCGAGACACCACUUUGGCAUACAUUGCCGGGUUUUUGGACGGCGAUGGAAGCGUCAUGUUUCAACUAAAACCGCGUCCUGAUUAUGCUUACGGAUUUCAAAUCAAGGUCACGCUGGCGUUCUACCAGAAAAGUUCCAACCGCUCGAUCUUGGAGUGGUUGCGCGAGAACUUAAAGGCUGGCGCAGUGCGCGAUCGAAACGAUGGAAUGAGUGAGUAUGACAUUGAAGGGUUUAUUCCGGUGCAAAACGCCCUGGAAUUGCUCGAACCCUACGUGGUUUUGAAACGCAAUCAGGUUGACAUGGCGCUUCGGUUGAUAGACGAAAUAACAAAUCAGCCGGAACCAUCUCCGGAAGAAUUUCUGGGAUGGUGCGCAAGAGUGGAUAUCUUUCAAGCCCUAAACUACACCAAGAAACGCAAACACACUUCUGAAAGCGUGCGCGCGGUUCUGGAAAGCAAGGGCUAUCUCGUACCCCCGUAACGACUGAGUGUACGAACAGAACUCUCGAUGGCGUUCCUUCUUCGUGAUCGGAGAAAAUCUAUGAGCGUCAUAAUACGUCGGCGCCUCGAAAGAGGCGGUGGUAUAGUCUGUCUUCAAGGUAACUUGGAGAUGCGUGAGACAGGUCGGUCUCUAUCCGCUGUGGGCGUAAGGGAUUUGAAGGGAGCUGCUCCUAGUACGAGAGGACCGGAGUGGACAGACCUCUAGUGUGCCAGUUGUUCCGCCAGGAGCAUCGCUGGGUAGCCAUGUCUGGCAGAGAUAACCGCUGAAAGCAUCUAAGUGGGAAACUCGCCCUAAGAUUAGAUCCCUGUAUUCCCGUAAGGGAGUAAGACCCCAGGUAGACUACCUGGUAUAUAGGCAGGGUGUGUAAGCGCAGUAAUGCGUUCAGCUAACCUGUACUAAUGGUCGAGGGCUUCAACCAU
This 1111-nucleotide ribosomal RNA is filed under the name Chloroflexota bacterium. Its description in RNAcentral is "Chloroflexi bacterium partial 23S ribosomal RNA". It matches the Rfam family "Bacterial large subunit ribosomal RNA", at positions 2522 to 2925 of the family's 2925-position model. The record is from RNAcentral. Lineage: Bacteria; Bacillati; Chloroflexota.